Molecule: ribosomal RNA, 467 nt
Filed under: uncultured bacterium
Lineage: Bacteria
Description: partial 16S ribosomal RNA
Rfam family: Bacterial small subunit ribosomal RNA
Source: RNAcentral
GACGAACGCUGGCGGCGUGCUUAACACAUGCAAGUCGAACGGCAAGGCCUCUUUCGGGGGGUACUCGAGUGGCGAACGGGCGAGUAACACGUGAGUAACCUGCCCUUGACUUUUGGAUAACUUCAGGAAACUGGGGCUAAUACCGGAUAGGAGCUCCUGCUGCAUGGUGGGGGUUGGAAAGUUUCGGCGGUUGGGGAUGGACUCGCGGCUUAUCGGCUUGUUGGUGGGGUAGUGGCUUACCACGGCUUUGACGGGUAGCCGGCCUGAGAGGGUGACCGGCCACAUUGAGACUGAGAGACGGCCCAGACUCCGACGAGAGGCAGCAGUGGGGAAUAUUGCACAAUGGGUGGAAGCCUGAUGCAGCAACGCCGUGUGCGGGAUGACGGCUUUCGGGGUGAAAACCGCUUGCGCUCAUGACGAAGCUUUGUGUGACGGUAGUGGGUAAAGAAGCACCGGCUAACUACGUG